GAUGAACGCUGGCGGCGUGCCUAAUACAUGCAAGUCGAGCGAACGGACGAGAAGCUUGCUUCUCUGAUGUUAGCGGCGGACGGGUGAGUAACACGUGGAUAACCUACCUAUAAGACUGGGAUAACUUCGGGAAACCGGAGCUAAUACCGGAUAAUAUUUUGAACCGCAUGGUUCAAAAGUGAAAGACGGUCUUGCUGUCACUUAUAGAUGGAUCCGCGCUGCAUUAGCUAGUUGGUAAGGUAACGGCUUACCAAGGCAACGAUGCAUAGCCGACCUGAGAGGGUGAUCGGCCACACUGGAACUGAGACACGGUCCAGACUCCUACGGGAGGCAGCAGUAGGGAAUCUUCCGCAAUGGGCGAAAGCCUGACGGAGCAACGCCGCGUGAGUGAUGAAGGUCUUCGGAUCGUAAAACUCUGUUAUUAGGGAAGAACAUAUGUGUAAGUAACUGUGCACAUCUUGACGGUACCUAAUCAGAAAGCCACGGCUAACUACGUGCCAGCAGCCGCGGUAAUACGUAGGUGGCAAGCGUUAUCCGGAAUUAUUGGGCGUAAAGCGCGCGUAGGCGGUUUUUUAAGUCUGAUGUGAAAGCCCACGGCUCAACCGUGGAGGGUCAUUGGAAACUGGAAAACUUGAGUGCAGAAGAGGAAAGUGGAAUUCCAUGUGUAGCGGUGAAAUGCGCAGAGAUAUGGAGGAACACCAGUGGCGAAGGCGACUUUCUGGUCUGUAACUGACGCUGAUGUGCGAAAGCGUGGGGAUCAAACAGGAUUAGAUACCCUGGUAGUCCACGCCGUAAACGAUGAGUGCUAAGUGUUAGGGGGUUUCCGCCCCUUAGUGCUGCAGCUAACGCAUUAAGCACUCCGCCUGGGGAGUACGACCGCAAGGUUGAAACUCAAAGGAAUUGACGGGGACCCGCACAAGCGGUGGAGCAUGUGGUUUAAUUCGAAGCAACGCGAAGGACCUUACCAAAUCUUGCCAUCCUUUGACAACUCUAGAGAUAGAGCCUUCCCCUUCGGGGGACAAAGUGACAGGUGGUGCAUGGUUGUCGUCAGCUCGUGUCGUGAGAUGUUGGGUUAAGUCCCGCAACGAGCGCAACCCUUAAGCUUAGUUGCCAUCAUUAAGUUGGGCACUCUAAGUUGACUGCCGGUGACAAACCGGAGGAAGGUGGGGAUGACGUCAAAUCAUCAUGCCCCUUAUGAUUUGGGCUACACACGUGCUACAAUGGACAAUACAAAGGGCAGCGAAACCGCGAGGUCAAGCAAAUCCCAUAAAGUUGUUCUCAGUUCGGAUUGUAGUCUGCAACUCGACUACAUGAAGCUGGAAUCGCUAGUAAUCGUAGAUCAGCAUGCUACGGUGAAUACGUUCCCGGGUCU
RNAcentral lists this ribosomal RNA (1372 nucleotides) under uncultured bacterium. RNAcentral's name for it is "bacterial SSU rRNA". It matches the Rfam family "Bacterial small subunit ribosomal RNA", at positions 28 to 1381 of the family's 1533-position model. The record is from RNAcentral.